UUACGGCCAUAUCACGCUCAAACACCGGUUCUCGUACGAAGUUAAGCAACGUCGAGCCUGGUUCGUACAUAGAUGGGUGACCACUUGAGAAUACAAGAUGCUGUAAG
Molecule: non-coding RNA, 107 nt
Organism: Acanthosepion pharaonis
Lineage: Eukaryota; Metazoa; Mollusca; Cephalopoda; Sepiida; Sepiidae
Source: the annotation of a GenBank genome assembly